CGACCGGCGCACGGGUGAGUAACGCGUAUGCAACCUGCCUGAUACCGGGGUAUAGCCCAUGGAAACGUGGAUUAACACCCCAUAGUACUUUUAUCCUGCAUGGGAUGUGAGUUAAAUGUUCAAGGUAUCGGAUGGGCAUGCGUCCUAUUAGUUAGUUGCGGGUAACAGCCCACCAAGACGAUGAUAGGUAGGGGUUCUGAGAGGAAGGUCCCCCACAUUGGAACUGAGACACGGUCCAA
This 239-nucleotide ribosomal RNA is filed under the name uncultured bacterium. Its description in RNAcentral is "partial 16S ribosomal RNA". It matches the Rfam family "Bacterial small subunit ribosomal RNA", at positions 92 to 334 of the family's 1533-position model. The record is from RNAcentral.